UUUCCGUAGGUGAACCUGCGGAAGGAUCAUUAUUGUAUAACCGAGGUGCGAGGUCUCUCGCUGUCCCGAACGCUCGUGCACUCACGAUUUACCUCACACACAUCCAUCUCACCCCUAUGUUAAUCACCGCGCGCUUCCCCCUUGGGCUUGUUCGGAGGGUGCCUUACGUUUUCACCAAAUCGUUUUUUGCAUCGUAGAAUGUCUUUUAUUUUUAUGCGAUCACACAGUCAAUACAACUUUCAACAACGGUUCUCUUGGCUCUCGCACCGAUGAAGAAAC
RNAcentral lists this unclassified non-coding RNA (279 nucleotides) under plant metagenome. RNAcentral describes it as "partial contains small subunit ribosomal RNA, internal transcribed spacer 1, and 5.8S ribosomal RNA". The record is from RNAcentral.